CACGCCACUUCACUCCAGCCUGGGUGACGGAACGAGACUCUGUCUCCAAAGAAAAAAAAAAAAGGAACUGAUUGCAGGACAGGAUCUGGCCUCUCUCUGCCCAGCCUCUUCCAUUUCCUGCUUUUCACUCUCUCUGGCUGAUUUCAGUCUGAGUAAAGCCAGGAAGGAGCCCUGCUAUGCCCCAGGGAAGGUCACUGCAGCUGCUACCUCGUGAACUACCUCCAUUCCCUACCUGUGCCCACCGAGGGCUCCAAGCCACCCUAUGUUUGGCUUCAGGACCCGGCUUUCAUGCCUCAGUUCUGCUACUUAAUUUUUGAGGUUUUUCGCCCAAGACAUUAAAACUCUAAGCCUCAGUUUCCCCACAUGCAAAAUGGGGAAAAUCAUUUCUGUUCUGCCAACUUCAGGGCUUUUGUGAGGCUCACGUGAGAUGAGUACAUGGUCUUACUUCUGAAACUAUGCAUCAGUGUAGAGAAAUCUUAUCAUAAUAAUUUUAUAAUUAUUUUUGUUUCCCUCGGGGGUCUUACUGUCAACCCAUUCUGAUCUCUGUCAGCCGCUGUCUUCCAGGAUCCAUUUUUUUCUACCCAACCUCUCCACUAUUCAACCCUCUUGACCACAUCCUCCUGGAUACCCCAUCCUCCUUCAGCUUCCUAGACUCACUCUCUUUUUUUUUUUUUUUUUUUUUUUUUUGAGACAGAGCCUUGUUUUGUUGCCUAGGCUGGAGUGCAGUGGCACAAUCUUAGCUCACUGCAACCUCCACCUCCCGAGUUCAAGUGAUUCUUCUGCCUCAGCCUCCCAAGUAGCUGAGAUUACAGGCACGCACAACCACGCCCAGCUAAUUUUUGUAUUUUCAGUAGAGACGGGGUUUUGCCAUGUUGACUAGGCUGGUCUCGAACUCCUGACCUCAGGUGAUCUGCCCGCCUUGGCCUCCCAGCAUCCUGGGAUUACAGUCGUGAACCACCGCACCCAGCCGCUAGGCUCACUCUCUCUGGAAUCUCCUCCUCCAUCUCAGACCACUCACUCUCUGAGUUAGACCCAUGCUUUUCCCUGCCAUUCAUAUCUGUCAGCCACACAGGGUUUCAGAGAGGAACCCCAGGAAGCACGUGCACACCCCCAAAGUCUCUUGUGGAUGUCUGUGUGGGGUUGCCCUGUGGCACAAAAUUUGAACAGAAGGCAAUGGGUCUCCACCCCACUGCCAUCACUGCCUCUGCCUCCUGAGACUCUGUUUGGCAAUGAAAACUGGCAUAAUGGCUGCUAAAGCCCAAGCCUUGGAAACUCUCAUGGCCGGGUCUGAUUGCACGUGACAGAGGUCUGUGGUCUCCUCGCCACAUUUGGACAAGCUGAGCCAAUCAGCUCUUUGGCUGGAGAUUUAGACAGCAGAUAUUCACUUCUUCUUUUUAGAACUGAAAGGACUUUUAGAAGUAAUUCUGGGUUGCCAGGCAUGGUGGCUCACACCUACCAUCCCAGCUACUCAGGGGGCUGAGGUGGGAGGAUCACUUGAGCCCAGGAGUUCUGGGCUGCAGUGUACUAUGCAGAUAGAUCAGGUGUCUGCACUAAGUUUGGCAUCAAUAUGGUGAUCUCCUGGGAGUGGGGAACCACCAGGUUGCCUAAGGAGGGGUAAACUGACUUAGGUUGGAAAUGGAGCAGGAUAAAACUCCCGUGCUGAUUGGUAAUGAGAUCACAUCUGUGAAUAGCCACUGUACCCCAGCCUGGGCAACAAAGCAAGACCUCAUCUUUUACAAAUAAAGGAAGAAAGAAAGAAAAGAAAGAAACCUGGGUUGAGCAUACUACGUGAUGACCCCUUUGCCUUCAGCGCAUGGACCAAAUCUACAUCAUUCUUUUUUUUUUUUUUUUUUUUGAGACAGAGCCUUGCUCUGUCACUCAGGCUGGAGUGCAGUGGUGCCAUCUCAGCUCACUGCAAUCUCCACCUCCCGGGUUCAAGCAAUUCUCAUGCCUCAGCCUCCCAAGUAGCUGGGAUUACAGGAUUACCA
This 1988-nucleotide long non-coding RNA is filed under the name Homo sapiens (human). RNAcentral's name for it is "HSALNT0154956". The stretch from base 1432 to 1735 matches the Rfam family "Metazoan signal recognition particle RNA". The record is from RNAcentral. Lineage: Eukaryota; Metazoa; Chordata; Mammalia; Primates; Hominidae.